UACGUAGGGUGCAAGCGUUGUCCGGAAUUAUUGGGCGUAAAGAGCUUGUAGGCGGUUUGUCGCGUCUGCUGUGAAAUUUCGGGGCUCAACCCCGAACUUGCAGUGGGUACGGGCAGACUAGAGUGUGGUAGGGGAGACUGGAAUUCCAGGUGUAGCGGUGAAAUGCGUAGAUAUCUGGAGGAAUACCGGUGGCGAAGGCGGCAUCCUGGACCGGCAUUGACGCUGAGGAGCGAAAGCUAGGGGAGCAAACGGG
This 253-nucleotide ribosomal RNA is filed under the name uncultured bacterium. Its description in RNAcentral is "partial 16S ribosomal RNA". It matches the Rfam family "Bacterial small subunit ribosomal RNA", at positions 524 to 776 of the family's 1533-position model. The record is from RNAcentral.